UACGUAGGGCGCAAGCGUUGUCCGGAAUUAUUGGGCGUAAAGAGCUCGUAGGCGGCUUGUCACGUCGAUUGUGAAAGCCCGAGGCUUAACCUCGGGUCUGCAGUCGAUACGGGCUAGCUAGAGUGUGGUAGGGGAGAUCGGAAUUCCUGGUGUAGCGGUGAAAUGCGCAGAUAUCAGGAGGAACACCGGUGGCGAAGGCGGAUCUCUGGGCAUGUCCUGACGCUGAGGAGCGAAAGCCAGGGGAGCAAACGGG
Molecule: ribosomal RNA, 253 nt
Filed under: uncultured bacterium
Lineage: Bacteria
Description: partial 16S ribosomal RNA
Rfam family: Bacterial small subunit ribosomal RNA
Source: RNAcentral